CCUACGGGAGGCAGCAGUGAGGAAUAUUGGUCAAUGGGCGAGAGCCUGAACCAGCCAAGUCGCGUGAGGGAGUACUGCCCUAUGGGUUGUAAACCUCUUUUGUCGGGGAGCAAAAGCCGGACGUGUCCGGCUGUGAGCGUACCCGAAGAAAAAGCAUCGGCUAACUCCGUGCCAGCAGCCGCGGUAAUACGGAGGAUGCGAGCGUUAUUCGGAUUUAUUGGGUUUAAAGGGUGCGCAGGCGGAUUUUUAAGUCAGCGGUAAAAUCGUGGGGCUCAACCCCAUCCAGCCGUUGAAACUGGGGAUCUAGAGUGUGCGAGAGGUAUGCGGAAUGAGUGGUGUAGCGGUGAAAUGCAUAGAUAUCACGCAGAACCCCGAUUGCGAAGGCAGCAUACCGGUGCACAACUGACGCUCAGGCACGAGAGCGUGGGUAUCGAACAGGAUUAGAUACCCGAGUAGUC
Molecule: ribosomal RNA, 458 nt
Filed under: uncultured bacterium
Lineage: Bacteria
Description: partial 16S ribosomal RNA
Rfam family: Bacterial small subunit ribosomal RNA
Source: RNAcentral